GCCAGCAUGGCAUAGUGGUUUGAGUGUUGGACUGUGACUCUGGAGGCCAGGGUUUGAUUCCCAACUCGGUCA
Molecule: transfer RNA, 72 nt
Filed under: Phrynosoma platyrhinos (Desert horned lizard)
Lineage: Eukaryota; Metazoa; Chordata; Lepidosauria; Squamata; Phrynosomatidae
Description: tRNA-OTHER
Source: RNAcentral